RNAcentral lists this ribosomal RNA (387 nucleotides) under uncultured bacterium. RNAcentral describes it as "bacterial SSU rRNA". It matches the Rfam family "Bacterial small subunit ribosomal RNA", at positions 28 to 416 of the family's 1533-position model. The record is from RNAcentral.
GACGAACGCUGGCGGCGUGCUUAACACAUGCAAGUCGAGGGCGUGGUGGGGCAACCUGCCACGACCGGCGAACGGGUGCGUAACACGUGAGCGAUCUACCCUGGUGUGGGGGAUAGCCGGCCCAACGGCCGGGUAAUACCGCAUACGCUCUUUGAGGGGCAUCCCUUGGAGAACAAAGUCUUCGGACGCACUGGGAGGGGCUCGCGGCCUAUCAGCUAGUUGGCGGGGUAACGGCCCACCAAGGCGGCGACGGGUAGCUGGUCUGAGAGGAUGGCCAGCCACAUUGGGACUGAGAGACGGCCCAGACUCCUACGGGAGGCAGCAGUGGGGAAUCUUGCGCAAUGGGCGAAAGCCUGACGCAGCGACGCCGCGUGCGGGAGGACGGCC